Molecule: ribosomal RNA, 782 nt
Filed under: uncultured marine eukaryote
Lineage: Eukaryota
Description: SSU rRNA
Rfam family: Eukaryotic small subunit ribosomal RNA
Source: RNAcentral
UUACCCAAUCCUGACUCAGGGAGGUAGUGACAAUAAAUAACAAUGCAGGGCAGGAUUCUGUCUUGUAAUUGGAAUGAGAACAAUUUAAAUCCCUUAACGAGGAUCAAUUGGAGGGCAAGUCUGGUGCCAGCAGCCGCGGUAAUUCCAGCUCCAAUAGCGUAUAUUAAUGUUGUUGCAGUUAAAAAGCUCGUAGCCGACUCUCGGGGCGGUGUCAACGGUCCGCAGAAAUGUGAGCACUGUUGUCUCCGCCUCUUCCUUCUGGACACCAUGUCUUCUCUUAACUGAGCGGAUGUGGGGGCCAGAUCGUUCACUUUGAACAAAUUAGAGUGUUCAAAGCAGGCCUCCGCCUGAAUACUUGAGCAUGGAAUGAUAUCAAUAGGUCCUUCCUCCCCGUUUAUUGGUGAUGGGGAGGAAGGAAAUGAGAAAGGGGAAUGGUUGGGGCCAUUCGUACUGCAGCGUUAGAGGUGAAAUUCUUGGAUCGCUGCAAGACGAACAACAGCGAAAGCAUUUGGCAAGAACGCUUCCACCGGUCAAGAACGAAAGUUAAGGGAUCGAAGACGAUCAGAUACCGUCGUAGUCUUAACCAUAAACUAUGCCGACUAGAGAUCGGUGGAUGUUAUUUAAUGACUCCAUCAGCAUCUUAUGAGAAAUCAAAGUCUUUGGGUUCCGGGGGGAGUAUGGUCGCAAGGCUGAAACUUAAAGGAAUUGACGGAAGGGCACCACCAGGAGUGGAGCCUGCGGCUUAAUUUGACUCAACACGGGGAAACUUACCAGGUCCAGAC